RNAcentral lists this ribosomal RNA (506 nucleotides) under uncultured bacterium. RNAcentral's name for it is "partial 16S ribosomal RNA". It matches the Rfam family "Bacterial small subunit ribosomal RNA", at positions 29 to 523 of the family's 1533-position model. The record is from RNAcentral.
AGUGAACGCUGGCGGUAGGCCUAACACAUGCAAGUCGAACGGCAGCACAGAGGAGCUUGCUCCUUGAGUGGCGAGUGGCGGACGGGUGAGGAAUACAUCGGAAUCUACUCUGUCGUGGGGGAUAACGUAGGGAAACUUACGCUAAUACCGCAUACGACCUACGGGUGAAAGCAGGGGACCUUCGGGCCUUGCGCGAUUGAAUGAGCCGAUGUCGGAUUAGCUAGUUGGCGGGGUAAAGGCCCACCAAGGGGACGAUCCGUAGCUGGUCUGAGAGGAUGAUCAGCCACACUGGAACUGAGGCACGGUCCAGACUCCUACGGGAGGCAGCAGUGGGGAAUAUUGGACAAUGGGCGCAAGCCUGAUCCAGCCAUACCGCGUGGGUGAAGAAGGCCUUCGGGUUGUAAAGCCCUUUUGUUGGGAAAGAAAUCCAGCUGGCUAAUACCCGGUUGGGACGACGGUACCCAAAGAAUAAGCACCGGCUAACUUCGUGCCAGCCGCCGCAGUAA